AGUUCGAUUAUGGCUCAGGAUUGAACGCUGGCGGGAUGUUUACACAUGCAAGUCGAACGGCAGCAUCGACUUCGGUCCGGUGGCGAGUGGCGAACGGGUGAGUAAUGUAUCGGAACGUGCCUAGUAGCGGGGAUAACUACGCGAAAGCGUAGCUAAUACCGCAUACGCCCUUCGGGGAAAGCGGGGGACCUUCGGGCCUCGCACUAUUAGAGCGGCCGAUAUCGGAUUAGCUAGUUGGUGGGGUAACGGCUCACCAAGGCGACGAUCCGUAGCUGGUUUGAGGACGACCAGCCACACCCUGACUGAGACACGGCCCAGACUCCUACGAGGCAGCAGCGGGGAAUUUUGACAAUGGGAAACCCUGAUCCAGCCAUCCGCUGUGCGAUGAAGGCCUUCGGGUUGUAAAGCACUUUUGGUAGUGAAAGAAACGGCACGGGAUAAUACCCGUGCAACUGACGGUACCGCAGAAUAAGCACCGGCCAACUACGCGCCAGCAGCCGCGGUAAUACGUAGGGUGCAAGCGUUAAUCGGAAUUAUUGGCGUAAAGCGUGUAAGCAGGCGGUUCGGAAAAGAAAGAUGAAAUCCCAGAGCUUAACUUCUUCUGAACCGUAUUUAACUACUGAGCUAGAGUGUGUCAGAGGGAGGGACUCGCGUGUAGCAGUGAAAUGCGUAGAUAUGCGGAGGAACACCGAUGGCGAAGGCAGCCUCCCGGGAUAACACUGGACGCUCAUGCACGAAAAGCGUGGGAGUAAACAGGAUUAGAUACCCUGGUAGUCCACGCCCUAAACGAUGUCAACUAGCUGCUGGGGCCUUUCGGGCCUUGGUAGCGCAGCUAACGCGUGAAGUUGACCGCCUGGGAGUACGGUCGCAAGAUUAAAACUCAAAGGAAUUGACGGGGACCUGCACAAGCGGAUGAUGGAUUAAUUCGAUGCAACGCGAAAACCUUACCUACCCUGACAUGUCUGGAAUCCUGAAGAGUUUUGGGAGGUUUCCGCAAGAGAACCGGAACACAGGUGCUGCAUGGUUGUCAGUCGUCAGCUCGUGUCGUGAGAUGUUGGGUUGGAGUCCUGCAACGAGCGCAACCCUUGUCAUUAGUUGCUAAUGAAAGGGCACUCUAAUGAGACUGCCGGUGGCCAAAACCGAGGAAGGUGGGGAUGACGUCAAGUCCUCAUGGCUCCUUAUGGGUAGGGCUUCACAUCGUCAUACAAUGCAGCCGACAGAGGGUCGCCAACCCGGCGAGGGGGAGCUAAUCCCGCGAAAACCCGAUCAGUCCGGAUCGUAGUCUGGUAAACUCGACCGCGCAAGGUCGGGAAUCGCCAGUAAUCGCGGAUCAGCAUGUCGCGGUGAAUAUGUUCCCGGGUCUUGUACACACCGCCCACCAAGCACUGGGAGUGGGUUUUACCAGAAGUAGUUAGCCUAACCGUAAGGAGGGCGAUUUUGUCACGGUAGGAUCUAUGACUGGGGUGAAGUCGUAACAAGGCAA
Molecule: ribosomal RNA, 1483 nt
Filed under: uncultured Bordetella sp.
Lineage: Bacteria; Pseudomonadati; Pseudomonadota; Betaproteobacteria; Burkholderiales; Alcaligenaceae
Description: partial 16S-23S ribosomal RNA intergenic spacer
Rfam family: Bacterial small subunit ribosomal RNA
Source: RNAcentral